Molecule: ribosomal RNA, 584 nt
Filed under: uncultured bacterium
Lineage: Bacteria
Description: bacterial SSU rRNA
Rfam family: Bacterial small subunit ribosomal RNA
Source: RNAcentral
CCUACGGGAGGCAGCAGUGAGGAAUAUUGGACAAUGGAGGCAACUCUGAUCCAGCCAUGCCGCGUGCAGGAAGACGGCCCUACGGGUUGUAAACUGCUUUUAUACAGGAAGAAUUAUACCUACGUGUAGGUAUUUGACGGUAUUGUAAGAAUAAGGAUCGGCUAACUCCGUGCCAGCAGCCGCGGUAAUACGGAGGAUCCAAGCGUUAUCCGGAAUUAUUGGGUUUAAAGGGUCCGUAGGCGGUUUUUUAAGUCAGAGGUGAAAUCCUGCAGCUCAACUGUAGCAUUGCCUUUGAUACUGAAAGACUUGAGUUAUUGUGAAGUAGUUAGAAUGUGUAGUGUAGCGGUGAAAUGCAUAGAUAUUACACAGAAUACCGAUUGCGAAAGCAGAUUACUAACAAUAUACUGACGCUGAGGGACGAAAGCGUGGGUAGCGAACAGGAUUAGAUACCCUGGUAGUCCACGCCGUAAACGAUGGAUACUAGCUGUUCGAUCAACACUGGUUGAUUGAGUGGUUAAGCGAAAGUGAUAAGUAUCCCACCUGGGGAGUACGCUCGCAAGAGUGAAACUCAAAGGAAUUGACGG